Molecule: ribosomal RNA, 434 nt
Filed under: uncultured Blautia sp.
Lineage: Bacteria; Bacillati; Bacillota; Clostridia; Lachnospirales; Lachnospiraceae
Description: partial 16S ribosomal RNA
Rfam family: Bacterial small subunit ribosomal RNA
Source: RNAcentral
ACGGGAGGCAGCAGUGGGGAAUAUUGGACAAUGGGGGAAACCCUGAUGCAGCGACGCCGCGUGAAGGAAGAAGUAUCUCGGUAUGUAAACUUCUAUCAGCAGGGAAGAAAGUGACGGUACCUGACUAAGAAGCCCCGGCUAACUACGUGCCAGCAGCCGCGGUAAUACGUAGGGGGCAAGCGUUAUCCGGAUUUACUGGGUGUAAAGGGAGCGUAGACGGAAGAACAAGUCUGAAGUGAAAUCAUAGGGCUCAACCCUGUAAUUGCUUUGGAAACUGUUUAUCUUGAGUACCGGAGGGGCAGGCGGAAUUCCUGGUGUAGCGGUGAAAUGCGUAGAUAUCAGGAAGAACACCGGUGGCGAAGGCGGCCUGCUGGACGGUAACUGACGUUGAGGCUCGAAAGCGUGGGGAGCAAACAGGAUUAGAUACCCUGGUA